GUGAUCGAGUGAUGGUCAGGUGU
This 23-nucleotide non-coding RNA is filed under the name Arabidopsis thaliana (thale cress). Lineage: Eukaryota; Viridiplantae; Streptophyta; Magnoliopsida; Brassicales; Brassicaceae. The record is from RNAcentral.